AGGGGCGGAGGCGGAGGAGAGGCCUGCGGCGGCAGGGAGCUGUGUGGCCGGGAGAGGGCGCCGGGGCCGAGCCUAGCCGAUCCAGAGCGGGCGGCAAAGGCCGGCGCGGCGAGUAGAAACCAUGUCGGUGUUCGGGAAGCUGUUUGGGGCUGGUGGGGGUAAGGCCGGCAAGGGCGGCCCGACCCCCCAGGAGGCCAUCCAGCGACUGCGGGACACGGAGGAGAUGCUAAGCAAAAAACAAGAGUUCCUGGAGAAGAAGAUUGAGCAAGAAUUGACGGCCGCCAAGAAGCACGGCACCAAAAACAAGCGCGCGGCCCUCCAGGCACUGAAGCGCAAGAAGAGGUACGAGAAGCAGCUGGCGCAGAUUGAUGGCACGCUGUCCACCAUCGAGUUCCAGCGGGAAGCCCUGGAGAACGCCAACACCAACACCGAGGUGCUCAAGAACAUGGGCUACGCUGCUAAGGCCAUGAAGGCCGCACAUGACAACAUGGACAUCAAUAAAGUUGAUGAGUUAAUGCAGGAUAUUGCUGACCAGCAAGAACUUGCAGAGGAGAUUUCCACAGCUAUUUCUAAACCUGUAGGGUUUGGAGAAGUGUUUGAUGAGGAUGAGCUCAUGGCAGAAUUGGAAGCACUAGAACAGGAGGAGCUCGACAAGAAUUUGCUGGAGAUCAGCGGUCCUGAAACAGUUCCUCUACCAAAUGUUCCCUCAAUAGCCCUACCAUCCAAACCC
Molecule: RNA transcript, 730 nt
Organism: Octodon degus (degu)
Lineage: Eukaryota; Metazoa; Chordata; Mammalia; Rodentia; Octodontidae
Gene name: charged multivesicular body protein 4b pseudogene
Exons: 1
Source: RefSeq, a predicted model, not a curated record